Molecule: ribosomal RNA, 497 nt
Filed under: uncultured bacterium
Lineage: Bacteria
Description: partial 16S ribosomal RNA
Rfam family: Bacterial small subunit ribosomal RNA
Source: RNAcentral
GAUGAACGCUGGCGGCGUGCCUAAUACAUGCAAGUCGAGCGAACGGACGAGAAGCUUGCUUCUCUGAUGUUAGCGGCGGACGGGUGAGUAACACGUGGAUAACCUACCUAUAAGACUGGGAUAACUUCGGGAAACCGGAGCUAAUACCGGAUGAUAUUUUGAACCGCAUGGUUCAAAAGUGAAAGACGGUCUUGCUGUCACUUAUAGAUGGAUCCGCGCUGCAUUAGCUAGUUGGUAAGGUAACGGCUUACCAAGGCAACGAUGCAUAGCCGACCUGAGAGGGUGAUCGGCCGCACUGGAACUGAGACACGGUCCAGACUCCUACGGGAGGCAGCAGUAGGGAAUCUUCCGCAAUGGGCGAAAGCCUGACGGAGCAACGCCGCGUGAGUGAUGAAGGUCUUCGGAUCGUAAAACUCUGUUAUUAGGGAAGAACAUAUGUGUAAGUAACUGUGCACAUCUUGACGGUACCUAAUCAGAAAGCCACGGCUAACUACGUG